Mauremys reevesii (Reeves's turtle) is the source of this 1273-nucleotide long non-coding RNA. RefSeq lists it as uncharacterized. Lineage: Eukaryota; Metazoa; Chordata; Testudines; Geoemydidae. The transcript is spliced from 5 exons. The record is from RefSeq and is a predicted model, not a curated record.
GAGGAAGAAAGGCUUCUGCAGGGAGCCCCCAGAGACAGGCUGGUCUGCAGCCAGAAACCUGAGGCUCCGGCCAGACUGGACCAGCAGGCCAAUGUUCUGUUUGAAGUGCUAGAAGCUAAUACAACAUCUGCAGAUUCUGGCAGAAUAUUCAAAUGGGAGAUGCAACCACAAGGUGGCUAAUGAGGCUUUUUGGCUUUUUCAUUUUCUCUUGAAUGUCCAGUCUUCCCAACCCGGACAGACAGAACCCGGCACUGUUCCAUGAACAGACAGACACCUCUGUAGCUCAGUCCUGCUGUUAAUCAGUAACUCCUAAAGUAGCCGCUUUCCUCAGGAAGUUGUGCAAUGAAAUGCCAAAGCUGCUCCUAGAAUACCAGCAUAUAGACCUCAUCAAAUUCCUAUCACAGACACAGUUCCUUCUCCUCCAGCUGAAUUUCUAAAUCCAUCCUCAAACCAAACCGCUCCACAGCAAGUGAACACCUGAUCUGUUGUUCAGAUUCAACAAUGAUACCUGCUCUGACAACUUGCUAACAAGCUCCUAUGACAACAGUCAACAUUCUGAACAUCAUUUUGAAGGCACGCGCUACCAUUUACUGGAGUCAACUGGAACACAGAGACCAAACACAACAUUUGACACAUCUUAGACUGCUUGGAAGGAUUUUGUUAUAUGCAGCAAAACACAGCAAGCUUGACAUUUGAAACUCACUUAUUUCACGGCAAGGCAAAAUCUUAUGCCUUCACACAGUGUUUUUCCUGCUGUUUCUCAGCACAAGAACGCCUGCUUACUGUAGCUUCAUAUUGUUAUGAACAGACCAGCAUGAAAAAAAUCUAUGCAGUCAGAAUAAAAUUGGCAUGGAGACUGCAGAAAUCUGGAUUGUCCAGGUGGAUCAGCCUUAGAGGACAACUCUUGUACUCACCCACACACUGGCUUUGUUACUCCCAUAUAUUCAGAAGCAAGGAAUAGAUGUACAGCAGGUCUCAUCCUGACCACCUAAAACACAGGAAACAUAAGACUUAAAAAGACUGUUUGAUGUUUAGGUUUUUUAAAUUAAUUCAUGUAUUAAAUAAUAAUCGCUGAAGUGCUGCAGCAUGCAUUAAUGUAAAACAUUUACCCUACAGGGAUGAAAGAAAUUAUACUUUAAACUUUCAUGGACUCAGAACAUUCAUACAACUCUCCAGAUACUUGAAAUCUCUAAUCCAUCACUUGAGUAAUUUUCAUCUUCCUUUCUUAGAUCCUGAUUGUGUUGAGUAGACUUAAAUUGUUUCUUUAAGGCAA